GACAGAGGGUGCAAGCGUUGUUCGGAAUUACUGGGCGUAAAGGGCUCGUAGGCGGCCAACUAAGUCGGACGUGAAAUCCCCAGGCUUAACCUGGGAACUGCAUCCGAUACUGGAUGGCUUGAAUUCGGGAGAGGGAUGCAGAAUUCCAGGUGUAGCGGUGAAAUGCGUAGAUAUCUGGAGGAAUACCGGUGGCGAAGGCGGCAUCCUGGACCGAGAUUGACGCUGAUGAGCGAAAGCUAGGGGAGCAAACGGG
This 253-nucleotide ribosomal RNA is filed under the name uncultured bacterium. Its description in RNAcentral is "partial 16S ribosomal RNA". It matches the Rfam family "Bacterial small subunit ribosomal RNA", at positions 524 to 776 of the family's 1533-position model. The record is from RNAcentral.